UACGGGGGGGGCUAGCGUUGUUCGGAAUUACUGGGCGUAAAGGGCGCGUAGGCGGCCUUCUAAGUCGGACGUGAAAUCCCCCGGCUCAACCGGGGAACUGCGUCUGAUACUGGAGGGCUCGAAUUCGGGAGAGGGAUGUGGAAUUCCAGGUGUAGCGGUGAAAUGCGUAGAUAUCUGGAGGAACACCGGUGGCGAAGGCGGCAUCCUGGACCGGUAUUGACGCUGAGGCGCGAAAGCCAGGGGAGCAAACGGG
RNAcentral lists this ribosomal RNA (253 nucleotides) under uncultured Acidobacteriota bacterium. RNAcentral describes it as "uncultured Acidobacteria bacterium partial 16S ribosomal RNA". It matches the Rfam family "Bacterial small subunit ribosomal RNA", at positions 524 to 776 of the family's 1533-position model. The record is from RNAcentral. Lineage: Bacteria; Pseudomonadati; Acidobacteriota.